GGGCGGUUAGCUCAGUUGGCUAGAGCGCCUGCUUUACACGCAGGAAGUCACAGGUUCGAAUCCUGUACUGCCCA
RNAcentral lists this transfer RNA (74 nucleotides) under Sedimentisphaerales bacterium. RNAcentral describes it as "tRNA-Val". It matches the Rfam family "tRNA". From Rfam's summary of the family: Transfer RNA (tRNA) molecules are approximately 80 nucleotides in length. Their secondary structure includes four short double-helical elements and three loops (D, anti-codon, and T loops). Further hydrogen bonds mediate the characteristic L-shaped molecular structure. tRNAs have two regions of fundamental functional importance: the anti-codon, which is responsible for specific mRNA codon recognition, and the 3' end, to which the tRNAs corresponding amino acid is attached (by aminoacyl-tRNA synthetases). tRNAs cope with the degeneracy of the genetic code in two manners: having more than one tRNA (with a specific anti-codon) for a particular amino acid; and 'wobble' base-pairing, i.e. permitting non-standard base-pairing at the 3rd anti-codon position. Lineage: Bacteria; Pseudomonadati; Planctomycetota; Phycisphaerae; Sedimentisphaerales. The record is from RNAcentral.